Molecule: ribosomal RNA, 505 nt
Filed under: uncultured Glomeromycotina
Lineage: Eukaryota; Fungi; Glomeromycota
Description: SSU rRNA
Rfam family: Eukaryotic small subunit ribosomal RNA
Source: RNAcentral
AGCAGCCGCAGUAAUUCCAGCUCCAAUAGCGUAUAUUAAAGUUGUUGCAGUUAAAAAGCUCGUAGUUGAAUUUCAGGCCUGGCUGGACGGUCCGCCCUUCGGGUGAGUACUGUCUGUGGUCGGGUCCUACCUUCUGGCGAAGCGUCAUGGCCUUAACCGGCCGUGGCGGGGAACCAGGACUUUUACUGUGAAAAAAUUAGAGUGUUCAAAGCAGGCAAAUCGCUUGGAUACAUUAGCAUGGAAUAAUGGAAUAGGACAAUGGUUCUAUUUGUUGGUUUCUAGGACCGUUGUAAUGAUUAAUAGGGAUAGUUGGGGGCAUUAGUAUUCAAUUGUCAGAGGUGAAAUUCUUGGAUUUAUUGAAGACUAACUACUGCGAAAGCAUUUGCCAAGGAUGUUUUCAUUAAUCAAGAACGAAAGUUAGGGGAUCGAAGACGAUCAGAUACCGUCGUAGUCUUAACCAUAAACUAUGCCGACUAGGAAUCGGGCGAUGUUGAAAAAAUGACGC